This 2261-nucleotide ribosomal RNA is filed under the name Natronobacillus azotifigens. RNAcentral's name for it is "Bacterial large subunit ribosomal RNA". It matches the Rfam family "Bacterial large subunit ribosomal RNA", at positions 652 to 2925 of the family's 2925-position model. Lineage: Bacteria; Bacillati; Bacillota; Bacilli; Caryophanales; Bacillaceae. The record is from Rfam by way of RNAcentral.
CUGAAAAGGCGGAGCCGCAGCGAAAGCGAGUCUGAAUAGGGCGCAUAAGUAGGUGGUCGUAGACCCGAAACCGUGUGAUCUACCCAUGUCCAGGGUGAAGGUCAGGUAACACUGACUGGAGGCCCGAACCCACGUAUGUUGAAAAAUGCGGGGAUGAGGUGUGGGUAGGGGUGAAAUGCCAAUCGAACACGGAGAUAGCUGGUUCUCUCCGAAAUAGCUUUAGGGCUAGCCUCAAGGCCUGUAUGUUGGAGGUAGAGCACUGAUUGGACUAGGGGCCCUUACCGGGUUACCGAAUUCAGUCAAACUCCGAAUGCCAACCAUAUAACCUUGGGAGUCAGACUAUGGGUGAUAAGGUUCAUAGUCGAGAGGGAAACAACCCAGACCGUCAGCUAAGGUCCCAAAGUAUACGUUAAGUGGAAAAGGAUGUGGCGUUGCAUAGACAACCAGGAUGUUGGCUUAGAAGCAGCCAUCAUUUAAAGAGUGCGUAAUAGCUCACUGGUCGAGUGACGCUGCGCCGAAAAUGUACCGGGGCUAAACGUAUCACCGAAGCUACGGAUUGUUCUUACGAACAAUGGUAGGAGAGCGUUCUAAGUGCAGUAAAGUCAGACCGUGAGGACUGGUGGAGCGCUUAGAAGUGAGAAUGCCGGUAUGAGUAGCGAAAAAGAAGUGAGAAUCUUCUUCACCGAAUGCCUAAGGUUUCCUGAGGAAGGCUCGUCCUCUCAGGGUUAGUCGGGACCUAAGCCGAGGCCGAAAGGCGUAGGCGAUGGACAACAGGUUGAUAUUCCUGUACCACCUCCUUUCCGUUUGAACGACGGGGGGACGCAGUAGGAUAAGGAAAGCGCGCUGUUGGUUAUGCGCGUCCAAGCAGUAAGUGAGUCAGAUAGGCAAAUCCGUCUGGCACAAUCACAAGCUGUGAUGGGGAAGGAAAUAGAGUACUGAAGUUCCUGAUUUCACACUGCCAAGAAAAGCCUCUAGUGAGGAAAGAGGUGCCCGUACCGCAAACCGACACAGGUAGGCGAGAUGAGAAUUCUAAGGUGAGCGGGAGAACUCUCGUUAAGGAACUCGGCAAAAUGACCCCGUAACUUCGGGAGAAGGGGUGCUUCUUGCAUGAGAAGCCGCAGUGAAAAGGCCCAAGCGACUGUUUAGCAAAAACACAGGUCUCUGCGAAGCCGAAAGGCGAAGUAUAGGGGCUGACACCUGCCCGGUGCUGGAAGGUUAAGGGGACGCGUUAGCAUCUGCGAAGCGCUGAACCGAAGCCCCAGUAAACGGCGGCCGUAACUAUAACGGUCCUAAGGUAGCGAAAUUCCUUGUCGGGUAAGUUCCGACCCGCACGAAAGGUGCAACGACUUGGGCACUGUCUCAACGAGAGACCCGGUGAAAUUAUACUAUGCGUGAAAAUGCGCAUUACCCGCGACAGGACGGAAAGACCCCGUGGAGCUUUACUGUAGCCUGAUAUUGAAUGUUGGCACAAUUUGUACAGGAUAGGUGGGAGCCUUCGAAGCGUGAGCGCUAGCUUACGUGGAGGCGCCGGUGGGAUACCACCCUGAUUGUGUUGACCUUCUAACCCAGGACCGUGAUCCGGUUCGGAGACAGUGUCAGGCGGGCAGUUUGACUGGGGCGGUCGCCUCCCAAAGAGUAACGGAGGCGCCCAAAGGUUCCCUCAGAAUGGUUGGAAAUCAUUCGAAGAGUGUAAAGGCAGAAGGGAGCUUGACUGCGAGACCUACAAGUCGAGCAGGGACGAAAGUCGGGCUUAGUGAUCCGGCGGUACCGUAUGGAAGGGCCGUCGCUCAACGGAUAAAAGCUACCCCGGGGAUAACAGGCUUAUCUCCCCCAAGAGUCCACAUCGACGGGGAGGUUUGGCACCUCGAUGUCGGCUCAUCGCAUCCUGGGGCUGUAGUCGGUCCCAAGGGUUGGGCUGUUCGCCCAUUAAAGCGGUACGCGAGCUGGGUUCAGAACGUCGUGAGACAGUUCGGUCCCUAUCCGUCGUGGGCGUUGGAAGUUUGAGAGGAGCUGUCCUUAGUACGAGAGGACCGGGAUGGACAUACCGCUGGUGCACCAGUUGUUCUACCAAGAGCAUAGCUGGGUAGCUACGUGUGGCAGGGAUAAGUGCUGAAAGCAUCUAAGCAUGAAGCCCCCCUCAAGAUGAGACUUCCCAUCUUUAUGAGUAAGAUCCCUCAGAGACGAUGAGGUAGAUAGGUUCGAGGUGGAAGCGUGGCAACACGUGCAGCUGACGAAUACUAAUCGAUCGAGGACUUAACUAA